Molecule: ribosomal RNA, 497 nt
Filed under: uncultured bacterium
Lineage: Bacteria
Description: partial 16S ribosomal RNA
Rfam family: Bacterial small subunit ribosomal RNA
Source: RNAcentral
GAUGAACGCCGGCGGCGUGCCUAAUACAUGCAAGUCGAGCGAACGGACGAGAAGCUUGCUUCUCUGAUGUUAGCGGCGGACGGGUGAGUAACACGUGGAUAACCUACCUAUAAGACUGGGAUAACUUCGGGAAACCGGAGCUAAUACCGGAUAAUAUUUUGAACCGCAUGGUUCAAAAGUGAAAGACGGUCUUGCUGUCACUUAUAGAUGGAUCCGCGCUGCAUUAGCUAGUUGGUAAGGUAACGGCUUACCAAGGCAACGAUGCAUAGCCGACCUGAGCGGGUGAUCGGCCACACUGGAACUGAGACACGGUCCAGACUCCUACGGGAGGCAGCAGUAGGGAAUCUUCCGCAAUGGGCGAAAGCCUGACGGAGCAACGCCGCGUGAGUGAUGAAGGUCUUCGGAUCGUAAAACUCUGUUAUUAGGGAAGAACAUAUGUGUAAGUAACUGUGCACAUCUUGACGGUACCUAAUCAGAAAGCCACGGCUAACUACGUG